AUUGAACGCUGGCGGCAGGCCUAACACAUGCAAGUCGAGCGGAUGAAGGGAGCUUGCUCCUGGAUUCAGCGGCGGACGGGUGAGUAAUGCCUAGGAAUCUGCCUGGUAGUGGGGGAUAACGUCCGGAAACGGGCGCUAAUACCGCAUACGUCCUGAGGGAGAAAGUGGGGGAUCUUCGGACCUCACGCUACCAGAUGAGCCUAGGUCGGAUUAGCUAGUUGGUGGGGUAAAGGCCUACCAAGGCGACGAUCCGUAACUGGUCUGAGAGGAUGAUCAGUCACACUGGAACUGAGACACGGUCCAGACUCCUACGGGAGGCAGCAGUGGGGAAUAUUGGACAAUGGGCGAAAGCCUGGUCCAGCCAUGCCGCGUGUGUGAAGAAGGUCUUCGGAUUGUAAAGCACUUUAAGUUGGGAGGAAGGGCAGUAAGUUAAUACCUUGCUGUUUUGACGUUACCAACAGAAUAAGCACCGGCUAACUUCGUG
This 484-nucleotide ribosomal RNA is filed under the name uncultured bacterium. RNAcentral's name for it is "partial 16S ribosomal RNA". It matches the Rfam family "Bacterial small subunit ribosomal RNA", at positions 30 to 507 of the family's 1533-position model. The record is from RNAcentral.